Molecule: ribosomal RNA, 429 nt
Filed under: Chloroflexota bacterium
Lineage: Bacteria; Bacillati; Chloroflexota
Description: Chloroflexi bacterium partial 16S ribosomal RNA
Rfam family: Bacterial small subunit ribosomal RNA
Source: RNAcentral
UGGGGAAUAUUGCACAAUGGGCGCAAGCCUGAUGCAGCCAUGCCGCGUGUAUGAAGAAGGCCUUCGGGUUGUAAAGUACUUUCAGUCGGGAGGAAGGUGGUAAGGUUAAUAACCUUAUCAAUUGACGUUACCGACAGAAGAAGCACCGGCUAACUCCGUGCCAGCAGCCGCGGUAAUACGGAGGGUGCAAGCGUUAAUCGGAAUUACUGGGCGUAAAGCGCACGCAGGCGGUUGAUUGAGUCAGAUGUGAAAUCCCCGGGCUUAACCCGGGAAUUGCAUCUGAUACUGGUCAGCUAGAGUCUUGUAGAGGGGGGUAGAAUUCCAUGUGUAUCGGUGAAAUGCGUAGAGAUGUGGAGGAAUACCGGUGGCGAAGGCGGCCCCCUGGACGAAGACUGACGCUCAGGUGCGAAAGCGUGGGGAGCAAACAGG